RNAcentral lists this transfer RNA (84 nucleotides) under Desulfovibrio desulfuricans. RNAcentral describes it as "tRNA-Leu". It matches the Rfam family "tRNA". Rfam says of the family: Transfer RNA (tRNA) molecules are approximately 80 nucleotides in length. Their secondary structure includes four short double-helical elements and three loops (D, anti-codon, and T loops). Further hydrogen bonds mediate the characteristic L-shaped molecular structure. tRNAs have two regions of fundamental functional importance: the anti-codon, which is responsible for specific mRNA codon recognition, and the 3' end, to which the tRNAs corresponding amino acid is attached (by aminoacyl-tRNA synthetases). tRNAs cope with the degeneracy of the genetic code in two manners: having more than one tRNA (with a specific anti-codon) for a particular amino acid; and 'wobble' base-pairing, i.e. permitting non-standard base-pairing at the 3rd anti-codon position. The record is from RNAcentral. RNAcentral also lists the same sequence under 4 other names. Lineage: Bacteria; Pseudomonadati; Thermodesulfobacteriota; Desulfovibrionia; Desulfovibrionales; Desulfovibrionaceae.
GCGAGAGUGGCGGAAUUGGUAGACGCACUGGACUUAGAAUCCAGCACCACUGGUAUGGGGGUUCAAGUCCCCCCUCUCGCACCA